This 255-nucleotide ribosomal RNA is filed under the name uncultured bacterium. RNAcentral's name for it is "partial 16S ribosomal RNA". It matches the Rfam family "Bacterial small subunit ribosomal RNA", at positions 99 to 354 of the family's 1533-position model. The record is from RNAcentral.
CGGACGGGUGAGUAACGCAUGGGGAACCUGCCCUGUACAGGGGGAUAACACUUAGAAAUAGGUGCUAAUACCGCAUAAGCGCACAGUAUCGCAUGAUACAGUGUGAAAAACUCCGGUGGUACAGGAUGGACCCGCGUCUGAUUAGCCAGUUGGCAGGGUAACGGCCUACCAAAGCGACGAUCAGUAGCCGGCCUGAGAGGGCGGACGGCCACAUUGGGACUGAGACACGGCCCAAACUCCUACGGGAGGCAGCAG